GACGAACGCUGGCGGCGUGCUUAACACAUGCAAGUCGAACGGAAAGGCCCUGCUUUUGUGGGGUGCUCGAGUGGCGAACGGGUGAGUAACACGUGAGUAACCUGCCCUUGACUUUGGGAUAACUUCAGGAAACUGGGGCUAAUACCGGAUAGGAGCUCCUGCUGCAUGGUGGUGGUUGGAAAGUUUCGGCGGUUGGGGAUGGACUCGCGGCUUAUCAGCUUGUUGGUGGGGUAGUGGCUUACCAAGGCUUUGACGGGUAGCCGGCCUGAGAGGGUGACCGGCCACAUUGGGACUGAGAUACGGCCCAGACUCCUACGGGAGGCAGCAGUGGGGAAUAUUGCAGAAUGGGCGGAAGCCUGAUGCAGCAACGCCGCGUGCGGGAUGACGGCCUUCGGGUUGUAAACCGAUUUCGCCUGUGACGAAGCGUGAGUGACGGUAAUGGGUAAAGAAGCACCGGCUAACUACGUG
This 468-nucleotide ribosomal RNA is filed under the name uncultured bacterium. RNAcentral's name for it is "partial 16S ribosomal RNA". It matches the Rfam family "Bacterial small subunit ribosomal RNA", at positions 28 to 507 of the family's 1533-position model. The record is from RNAcentral.